RNAcentral lists this ribosomal RNA (253 nucleotides) under uncultured bacterium. Its description in RNAcentral is "partial 16S ribosomal RNA". It matches the Rfam family "Bacterial small subunit ribosomal RNA", at positions 524 to 776 of the family's 1533-position model. The record is from RNAcentral.
UACGUAGGGUGCGAGCGUUGUCCGGAAUUACUGGGCGUAAAGAGCUCGUAGGUGGUUUGUCGCGUUGUUCGUGAAAACCGGAGGCUCAACCUCUGGCGUGCGGGCGAUACGGGCAGACUUGAGUACUGCAGGGGAGACUGGAAUUCCUGGUGUAGCGGUGGAAUGCGCAGAUAUCAGGAGGAACACCGGUGGCGAAGGCGGGUCUCUAAACAAUAACUGACGCUGAGGAGCGAAAGCGUGGGGAGCGAACAGG